UAGGAAGAAUAAAUGUCAGAAUAAUUUUUUCCGAAUUUUUCACCAGUUUCUUUAUUUAUUUCAGUCUUUACUUAAGUAUAGCCUACUAACACUACCCGAGAUGAUAAUACAAAAUGUCCCUUGGGUGGGCACUGCUCUUUCAUUGUUUUGUCUUUAUUCAAGCCUACAGACUCUUGGCCUCUUCUGUGCUUUUUUGGUGAAUGUGUUAGGUUCAUUAGCUCUAAAACUUGGGGAUGGUCUAGCUACUUCAGGAAUUAUCCAGCAAAAUAAAAAUCCGUUUUAUAUAUUUGCCACUUGCUAUACUUUGUAUGCUAUGUUUUCGGUUCUUGUGGAACUUGGAAUAAAUAUUUGGACUCUGAGCUGGAGCAGCCUGCAUAUGUUUCCUCAACAACGAAAAAUGAUUUUAAUGAAUCAAUAUUUGCCAUCAUUACUGCUGCAUCUUAUGCUUGUCAUGACGUGCACCACUGCGCUUUCCUUGUAUGCACCGUACCUGU
Molecule: long non-coding RNA, 494 nt
Organism: Zophobas morio
Lineage: Eukaryota; Metazoa; Arthropoda; Insecta; Coleoptera; Tenebrionidae
Exons: 5
Source: RefSeq, a predicted model, not a curated record